Molecule: ribosomal RNA, 349 nt
Filed under: Ochromonas sp. CCMP1393
Lineage: Eukaryota; Chrysophyceae; Chromulinales; Chromulinaceae
Description: partial Bacterial small subunit ribosomal RNA
Rfam family: Bacterial small subunit ribosomal RNA
Source: RNAcentral
AUGGUUAAAGAUUUAUUGGAUUCGGAUGGGGCUGCGUGCCAUUAGCUAGUUGGGGAGGUAACGGCUCACCAAGGCGACGAUGGCUAGGGGAGCUGAGAGGCUGGUCCCCCACACGGGCACUGAGAUACGGGCCCGACUCCUACGGGAGGCAGCAGUAGGGAAUAUUGGGCAAUGGCCGAGAGGCUGACCCAGCCAUGCCGCGUGCAGGAUGAAGGCCUUCGGGUUGUAAACUGCUUUUGUACGGAACGAAACGGUUCUUUCUAAUAAAGAGGGCUAAUGACGGUACCGUAAGAAUAAGCACCGGCUAACUACGUGCCAGCAGCCGCGGUAAUACGUAGGGCGCAAGCGU